This 23-nucleotide non-coding RNA is filed under the name Arabidopsis thaliana (thale cress). Lineage: Eukaryota; Viridiplantae; Streptophyta; Magnoliopsida; Brassicales; Brassicaceae. The record is from RNAcentral.
GAGUUUGGUACUGAUGGCGCUCC